This 771-nucleotide ribosomal RNA is filed under the name Triticum aestivum (bread wheat). RNAcentral describes it as "partial small subunit ribosomal RNA". Lineage: Eukaryota; Viridiplantae; Streptophyta; Magnoliopsida; Poales; Poaceae. The record is from RNAcentral.
AUGGAUGGGAGUGAGAUUGGUGGCAAUGUGUGUGGGUCUCUAGAUGAGUGGCUGCACCCGCUGCCUUCAAGUCAAGAAUUGGAAAAUCCAGAGCACAUGAUACCAAUAUAUGAGAAGCACAAGCAGUUGUAUGCAGCACAAGUGAAGAAUGUUCUGACAUCAUUUGGUCAACUUAUGCAGUCAAAGUUCUGUAAGCGCGUAGCAUCUAUCUUGGUCGAAGCAAACUCCACCGCAGCAAGUACCAAGGAGCAGAUCUUCGAAAAUGUUACUUUUCAUGCUCCAGCAGGCAAUGCAGGCAGUGCAGCCAACGCAACAGGUGUAGAUCAAACCAGGGCUCCCACCCACACUAGCCCUGCACCCCACAUGAGUCCUGCAGCACAAGAAUGUGAGGUUGAAAAGGAAGUUGCAGGUUGUUCUGAGACCAACCAGAAUGGAGAUCAUCAAGACAUUGGUUUGGAUGGAAGUGAGAGUUGCGAUAAACUUGGGAAGGAAGAUGUGCAUCUGGGACACGAUAAGGGGGAACGGGAGGAGAUGGUAGUUCCUGAAGUUAUUGAGGGAGAUUCGAAAGUGUCAGGUGUUGGUGGCGAGGGUGAGAGGGUGAUUUUAUCACAGGGUACAAUUGCUGCGUUGGAAGGGCUUGCAUUGGAAUUUGAUGAUGGUCCUUCUUGUAGUCUGUUCAAAGAGGGAACUGAAGACUACGAAUGGUUCAACAUGGAUGCUGAGACCGCAAGGAAAUUUGUGAAAACUCGAAAUCGCCUUGGGCCCCCCUGA